RNAcentral lists this long non-coding RNA (817 nucleotides) under Cyanistes caeruleus (blue tit). RNAcentral describes it as "lncRNA (ENSCCEG00000005747.1)". The record is from RNAcentral. Lineage: Eukaryota; Metazoa; Chordata; Aves; Passeriformes; Paridae.
UUGGUGAGGUGACCCAGUCUUCAGAAAUGUUGGACCUCAGAAUCAGCUGGUAAAGAGCAUGUGGAGAGAGAGGAGACAACAAAAACCUGUGGCUGAUUGCACAGCAGAGUUGGACUCGAAUGAACUUCUAUGACUUCACAAAAAUGUGAAAUCUGGCACUUGGCAGAGCCAGAAGGAAACAUCUGGAUGCUUUUGAUCAAAGAUGCUUGUGGAAAAUGAGACUGCAGAGCUUCAAGAAUGGCAGUUUGAGAAAGAAAGAAAGAAUGAAACUCUCCUCAGCAGAAGGAUGUGAUUUCUGUAGUUUCCUGAGCACACAGAAGAGUGGAGAGGACCUUCUUUGCCCAUUUGCUAAAGAACAGUUGAUAUUACAUUUGACAAUCCCCUAAUCCAAUUUAAAUCCAGCUUGCUGCUGGCCACCUGUGAGCAAUUUUAUUCUGUGGCUUUUUGUUUUAAUCUUGAGAGCGCUCAUUUGUCUGUGGAGGAUGAUUCCCUUGGACUGGCUCAGGAUCUUGGGCCCACCACAACAGCUGGGCACUUAAUUCAGACAUUUGGUGUUACUGAAUCCUGAUUUUUUUUGGAAGGAGUUCCAGUCCGUGGGAUGAAUCCUGCACUCAGAAAAUUGCUUUUCAUGCUGUGGUGUUUGCUGCCAUUGUCCUGUGAAGGUGAAGUGUUGUCCCAGUGCAGCCAGGAUGGAAAGGAAGGUAACCUGACUGGCUGACUGCUCUUGUAGACAGUAAAAUGAAACAGUCCUUAGCUCCUGCUAAUGGCAUCAGCAGUGUUUCCUUGAUUUAAUAAUCCAGAGAGAAUGAUUUUACUG